Macaca mulatta (Rhesus monkey) is the source of this 2955-nucleotide non-coding RNA. Lineage: Eukaryota; Metazoa; Chordata; Mammalia; Primates; Cercopithecidae. The record is from RefSeq and is a predicted model, not a curated record.
AAUAUGAGCAUUUGUUUUGAUCUUUGAAAUGAGGUAAGUUCUUCCAUGUGUGUCCAGAAUUUCCAAAAAUAUGGACAUAUUUACCUAUAUCUGCCUUCAGCUUUGCCUCAUAUCUGUUUACCAUUUCUCAUUUCUUUUAGGUAGUCUCUAUAAGUGGUAACCAAAUGACCUAAUUAGAAUGAACUUCUGCAAAGCCAUCAACAUUCAGGAAAUGCUAUAAAUAGAUUGAUUUGAUUGGUUAGCUGUUUAAUUAAAUAAUGUAACUGUUCUCUUAUUCAGCAGGCAUUCUUUGAACUGUUGUUACUUGAUACAUGCAGGACAACUGAAAAGAAAGACAAUGGCUACAUGGAUUAGAAACACCAAGAAACCAGGCAAGAGAUGUAGAUUUGCAACAACAUUGGGAAUAUAAAUUGAUAUCUUUCUAAUCUCUUUGAAGAAUCAUGGACUCAUUUAGACCCAUUUACAACAAACAGAAGUGACUGAUAGUUGGCUGGCUUGUCAUAGAGCAGAAAGACAGCAACACAAACAGCAAGAACAUAACAGCGUCCAGUAAUGCAGCGUGCCCACGUGUGAAAUGAAGCAGGAGCGGCGUAGUGCAGUGAGAAACAGGCGUGGACAGCCACAGGAAGGACGGGGCUUCAGGCCACGUUAAGGCAACAGAAGGAAGGAGAAAAUCUUAUCUCGCAGAACUAUACUAUAUAAACACCUGAAAAUGUCAAAGAUUUGUUUAAAGGGUACAACUUACCCUUUAGCUGAAAUGAAGUUGGGAGGACAGACUGCUGCUUUCAGUGAUGGUGCGUUAGGUAAUUUAGAAUCCCUUACCCUGCUGAGAAAAGUAGCAAAGCUGGUGGGGAAAACCUCUUUGAAAGCACAGAAUGGCUAAAAAUACAUUGAAAAAUUACCUACCAAAAUUUGAGACACAGAAAUUCAGAAAAGGGAUCCCUGUUUCUAGGGGGUUGUUUGCUGACUGCGGAUUAUAGAAAUGUACAGAUGGAAGGCUGGGUAGCGUCUCCAACAAACUCCCAAGGCUGGGUGAGCGACUGAAAUUGGAAGCCAGAGGUCAUUAAUAUAAUGAUAGAGGAUCCUGGUAAAACCUCCAGGCUUUUGAGUUGAGAUGCUGAGAGCUGAAGCUUACAAACAAGAGUAACAGGGGUAACACGGUCCUCGCAACGACUGCAUCCACACUUUCCAGGACCAGUCUGGUGGGGUCCUGCACCUCUAGGACCCCAGUCAGGAAUCCUCUCUGGAGGAAAAUAGCAUUAACCAGAUAUAGGACUGCAUCAAACGGUGUAGGUGACAAGACAGUGUAUAUUAGAACCCACUCAUAAUAAAGGAGCCAUAAAACUUCAAGUUUUAAUAUAAACCAAUACAGACUUCAAUAUAACUGUGAAUAUUGCGCUCAAAGAUGUGAAAUACAAGACUGAGAGUCUCAGCAGAGAAUUGUCAACUCUAAAAAGUAUAAUCAAGAUCAAGUUUUAAGUCUGAAACAUAAAAUAACUGAAAUUAAGAACUCAGUCUACAGUUUUAACAGCUGUUUAUUAAUACAUAGAUAAGAAUAGGCUAUAUAUGUGUCUAAAUAUGCCAGUAUCUCUGUGUGUAUAUAUAUAAUAUAUAUGUAUGUAUCUUUCUACAUAUAAAUAUAGAGAAGAAGGGAUGGAUGGGGAGAGAGACACAGAGAGAAGUACCAAAGACAGUAAUUACAUCUAGAAUAUAGUGAGAAAGUCCAAAAGGUAACCAGAAGAGGUGAAAGAUAAAAAUUGGAUGGUAGCAAUAUUUGAAGUUAUUAUGGUUGAAAAUUUUAUAAAACUGGAGGAAGUCAACCAAUCAUGGACUUAAAAAGGUCUACAUACAAUAAAUACAAUAAAUAUGACAUAAAUCACAUCUAGGCAUACCAUAAUAAAACCAGAAAAACAAAGACAAAAAUAAAAUGUUAAACUCAAGAAAAUAUACAUUUUUACAGUAACAAGGUUUUAGACAUCUACCUGGCUUCUUUUUUUGGUAACAUCUUUACUGAAAUGUGUUUAUAUACCAUGUAGUUUAUCUAUUUAAAGUGUGUAACUUAAUGAUUUUUUUUAGUAUAUUUACACAGUUUUGCAAUCAUCAACACAACUUCUAAACAUUUAUACCCCAUAUCCCUCAGCUGUCACCCCUAAUCCUUCUGUCCCCAAGUCCUAUGUAACCACUCAUCUACUUUCUGUCUGUAUCAUUUCCUGUUUUGGAAAUUUCACAUAAGUGGAAUUAUGUAAUCUGUGGUGUUCUCUGGCUUCUUUCACUUAGCAAAAUGUUUUAAGUUUCAUCUACAUUGUAUCAGAACUAUGAAGUUCUGAAUCCUUUGUAUGACUGAAUGAUAUUCUAUCUUGUUUAUCCAUUCAUCAUUUGAUGGGCAUUUGGAUUAUUUCUACAUUUUGGCUAUUAUGAAUAAUGCUGCUGUGAAUAUUUGUUUAUAAUUUGGGGGUGAACAUAUGUUUUCACGUAUCUUGGGUAAAUACGGAAGAAGUAAAAUCGCUGGGUCCAUGAUAACUGUAUGUUUAGCUUUUGGAGAAACUGCUCAAAUGUUUUCCAAAGUCGUGGUUCAAUUUUACAUUCUCAUCAUCAGUGUAUGAGGGUUCUGGCAACACUUCUUGUUCCCUAUUUUUUUUUAAUAUAGUCAUUCUAGUGGAUGUGAAAUAAGUUGUGAAAUGUCUCUUCUUAACAUGAUAAAUGGAAGUCAAAAGUCAAUGGAAUAAUAGAUUUAAAUAAAAUAAUGUCAACAUAGAAUUCAAUGUUUACUUCAACAACAAUGUGCUUAAAAAUUCAUUUGAAAGAGAAAAAAUUUUAAAAAUUGAUAUAAAUUAUUAUCAGCACAUCUGCACUAAGAGAAACAUUAAGCAUAUUCUUUUCAGAGAAGGAAAAUAUUCCCAGAUGAAAACUUAAAUGUGCAUGAGGGCUGGGUGUGGUGGCUCAUGCCUAUAAUCC